AUACGUAGGGGGCGAGCGUUGUCCGGAAUGAUUGGGCGUAAAGGGCGCGUAGGCGGCCCGGUAAGUCUGGAGUGAAAGUCCUGUUUUUAAGAUGGGAAUUGCUUUGGAUACUGUCGGGCUUGAGUGCAGGAGAGGUAAGUGGAAUUCCCAGUGUAGCGGUGAAAUGCGUAGAGAUUGGGAGGAACACCAGUGGCGAAGGCGACUUACUGGACUGUAACUGACGCUGAGGCGCGAAAGUGUGGGGAGCAAACAGGAUUAGAUACCCUGGUAGUCCACACUGUAAACGAUGAAUGCUAGGUGUAGGGGGUAUCGACCCCUUCUGUGCCGCAGUCAACACAAUAAGCAUUCCGCCUGGGGAGUACGGCCACAAGGUUGAAACUCAAAUGAAUUGACGGGG
This 397-nucleotide ribosomal RNA is filed under the name uncultured bacterium. RNAcentral's name for it is "partial 16S ribosomal RNA". It matches the Rfam family "Bacterial small subunit ribosomal RNA", at positions 523 to 918 of the family's 1533-position model. The record is from RNAcentral.